GGCUCCAGAGUAUGCAAUGCAUGGCCAAUUUUCGGUUAAAUCAGACGUAUUUAGUUACGGCGUGUUGUUACUAGAGAUUGUAAGUGGGCAAAAGAAUAAUUCUUUCAGCAAUGGAGAGAAUGUCGAGGAUCUUUUGAGCUACGCAUGGAAAAAUUGGAGAGAAGGGACAUGUAUGAAUAUUAUAGAUCCAGCUUUUAGGGCAGCAGGUUCAACAAGUGAAAUGAUGAGGUGCAUACACAUUGGGCUGCUAUGCGUUCAAGAAAAUGUGGGUGAUAGGCCAACAAUGGCUUCAGUAGUUCUCAUGCUAAACAGCUAUUCCCUCACUCUACCAAUACCCUCACAUCCAGCAUUUUUUAUGCACACUACUGAAUCAGAUAUCUCGUCUUCAUUGGGGUAUAAUUCAGAGUUGUCAAGGUCCAGGAUUGAAGCUCUCCCCUUGUCAGUCAAUGAGGCCUCAAUUAUCGAAUUAUAUCCUCGAUAAAAUGAUUAAAGAUUUUACUUCAAUUGGAUGUGUAUUACACAAAUUUUUUUUUUUUUCAUUUAGCUCUGCAUAGAAUUUGAAAUUUUACAGUUUUAAGAAUGAUUCCAAUAAUUUAUUACUUAGUUUUCUUAAUAUGGAUUUUGGUUGGUUUAUACAAUUCUUUCAUCAUUUUCUGUUAAGAUUUGC
Molecule: unclassified non-coding RNA, 667 nt
Filed under: Hevea brasiliensis (rubber tree)
Lineage: Eukaryota; Viridiplantae; Streptophyta; Magnoliopsida; Malpighiales; Euphorbiaceae
Source: RNAcentral